ACUCAAAUGAAUUGACGGGGGCCCGCACAAGCGGCGGAGCAUGUGGCUUAAUUCGACGCAACGCGAAGAACCUUACCAGGGCUUGACAUGCGGGGCGAAGCCCAUGAAAGUGGGCGCUCCUACGGGAGCCCGCACAGGUGUUGCAUGGCCGUCGUCAGCUCGUGCCGUGAGGUGUUGCCUUAAGUGGCGCAACGAGCGCAACCCCUGUCCCAUGUUGCCAGCGAGUCAUGUCGGGGACUCAUGGGAGACUGCCGGUGCCAAACCGGAGGAAGGUGGGGAUGACGUCAGGUCAUCAUGGCCCUUAUGUCCUGGGCUGCACACAUGCUACAAUGCUUGCUACAAAGGGAAGCAAUCUCGCAAGAGGGAGCGAAUCCCAAAAAGGCAAGCUCAGUUCGGAUCGGGGUCUGCAACUCGACCCCGUGAAGUCGGAGUCGCUAGUAAUCGCAGAUCAGCAACGCUGCGGUGAAUACGUUCCCGGGCCUUGUACACACCGCCCGU
RNAcentral lists this ribosomal RNA (498 nucleotides) under uncultured bacterium. RNAcentral's name for it is "partial 16S ribosomal RNA". It matches the Rfam family "Bacterial small subunit ribosomal RNA", at positions 899 to 1397 of the family's 1533-position model. The record is from RNAcentral.